UCGGAUUGAAGGCUGAAAUUACGCCUUCCAUGAAGCUGGAAUUGCUAGUAAUGGCAGGUCAGCAUACUGCCGUGAAUACGUUCCCGGGCCUUGUACACACCGCCCGUCACACCAUGAGAGUUGGCAACACCCGAAGUCGGUAGUCUAACCGCAAGGAGGACGCCGCCGAAGGUGGGGUUAGAUGAUUAGGGUUAAGUCGUAACAAGGUAGC
This 211-nucleotide ribosomal RNA is filed under the name uncultured bacterium. RNAcentral describes it as "partial 16S ribosomal RNA". It matches the Rfam family "Bacterial small subunit ribosomal RNA", at positions 1293 to 1500 of the family's 1533-position model. The record is from RNAcentral.